GAUGAACGGCGGCGGGCAUGCCCUUACACAUGCAAGUCGAACGGUAAACGCGGGGGCAACCUGGCGACGAGUGGCGAACGGGUGAGUAAUACAUCGGAACGUGCCCAGUAGUGGGGGAUAGCCCGGCGAAAGCCGGAUUAAUACCGCAUACGACCUACGGGUGAAAGCGGGGGACUCGCAAGAGCCUCGCGCUAUUGGAGCGGCCGAUGUCAGAUUAGCUAGUUGGUGGGGUAAAAGCCUACCAAGGCGACGAUCUGUAGCUGGUCUGAGAGGACGACCAGCCACACUGGGACUGAGACACGGCCCAGACUCCUACGGGAGGCAGCAGUGGGGAAUUUUGGACAAUGGGCGCAAGCCUGAUCCAGCCAUGCCGCGUGCGGGAAGAAGGCCUUCGGGUUGUAAACCGCUUUUGUCAGGGAAGAAACGCUCUGGGCUAAUACCCCGGGGUAAUGACGGUACCUGAAGAAUAAGCACCGGCUAACUACGUG
RNAcentral lists this ribosomal RNA (488 nucleotides) under uncultured bacterium. RNAcentral describes it as "bacterial SSU rRNA". It matches the Rfam family "Bacterial small subunit ribosomal RNA", at positions 28 to 507 of the family's 1533-position model. The record is from RNAcentral.